RNAcentral lists this ribosomal RNA (600 nucleotides) under uncultured bacterium. RNAcentral describes it as "bacterial SSU rRNA". It matches the Rfam family "Bacterial small subunit ribosomal RNA", at positions 798 to 1406 of the family's 1533-position model. The record is from RNAcentral.
CGCCGUAAACGAUGGAUACUAGCUGUCGGGCCCUUGGGCUCGGCGGCCAAGCGAAAGUGAUAAGUAUCCCACCUGGGGAGUACGUUCGCAAGAAUGAAACUCAAAGGAAUUGACGGGGGCCCGCACAAGCGGUGGAGCAUGUGGUUUAAUUCGAUGAUACGCGAGGAACCUUACCAGGGCUUAAAUGUAGGUUGCAUGGGGCAGAGACGCCCCUUUCUUCGGACCACCUACAAGGUGCUGCAUGGUUGUCGUCAGCUCGUGCCGUGAGGUGUCAGGUUAAGUCCUAUAACGAGCGCAACCCCUACCGUUAGUUGCCAGCGAGUGAAGUCGGGGACUCUAACGGGACUGCCGGUGCAAACCGUGAGGAAGGUGGGGACGACGUCAAAUCAUCACGGCCCUUACGUCCUGGGCCACACACGUGCUACAAUGGCCGGUACAGAGGGAAGCCACCCCGCGAGGGGGCGCGGAUCUACAAAACCGGUCACAGUUCGGAUCGGGGUCCGCAACUCGACCCCGUGAAGCUGGAAUCGCUAGUAAUCGGAUAUCAGCCAUGAUCCGGUGAAUACGUUCCCGGGCCUUGUACACACCGCCCAAGCUUGC